Molecule: long non-coding RNA, 551 nt
Organism: Cynara cardunculus var. scolymus (artichoke)
Lineage: Eukaryota; Viridiplantae; Streptophyta; Magnoliopsida; Asterales; Asteraceae
Exons: 3
Source: RefSeq, a predicted model, not a curated record
AUUGCUUUACCAUUUAACAGACAAUAGAGAGCAGCCCUUGGGAAAACAGUGAAAGCGAGGCUAUUAACUUUUCACAGUUGAAACCUCUUAGAUAUGGCAGGUUCUGAGAGCUCCAAGGCUGAAACCACUGGUGUUUGUCAAAAAGAAGGGUCCUACAUUAAUAAAAUUCUGCUCACUCUUGAACUAUGGUCAAGUCAAGCUACAGUCAAGACCGGAGGAAGAAGAAGAAGUUAAAGCUGCUUUGUUAAGCCAAAUACAGAGAUUGACAAAGAGGACAUUCCUUUGGGGAAGAAGAGGUCAGGUUGCAUUAACUGUUGUUUUCCUCUUGUUUCUUUGAGUUUGUGAUAUUGCAUUUAGUUGUAUAUGCAAAUAUUCUAAUAUAAUUCUUUAUAUUUGUUUCAAGCAUAUAUCUGUAAUUGUAUACUAAGGGGCCAUUUACUAAACACUUACCGGUAAGUGCUUACUGGAUAAAUUUCUUCAUUGGAUGAACAUAAGAAGGGCCAAGAAUCUUACUGGAUAAGAGCGAUGAGAAGGAUGAAGAGUCUUACCUG